This 23-nucleotide non-coding RNA is filed under the name Cricetulus griseus (Chinese hamster). Lineage: Eukaryota; Metazoa; Chordata; Mammalia; Rodentia; Cricetidae. The record is from RNAcentral.
UCGUUUAGGUCUUGCUCUCAACU